GAUGAACGCUGGCGGCGUGCCUAAUACAUGCCAGUCGAGCGAACAGAUGAGGAGCUUGCUCCUCUGACGUUAGCGGCGGACGGGUGAGUAACACGUGGAUAACCUACCUAUAAGACUGGGAUAACUUCGGGAAACCGGAGCUAAUACCGGAUAAUAUAUUGAACCGCAUGGUUCAAUAGUGAAAGACGGUUUUGCUGUCACUUAUAGAUGGAUCCGCGCCGCAUUAGCUAGUUGGUAAGGUAACGGCUUACCAAGGCAACGAUGCGUAGCCGACCUGAGAGGGUGAUCGGCCACACUGGAACUGGGACACGGUCCAGACUCCUACGGGAGGCAGCAGUAGGGAAUCUUCCGCAAUGGGCGAAAGCCUGACGGAGCAACGCCGCGUGAGUGAUGAAGGUCUUCGGAUCGUAAAACUCUGUUAUUAGGGAAGAACAAAUGUGUAAGUAACUAUGCACGUCUUGACGGUACCUAAUCAGAAAGCCACGGCUAACUACGUG
Molecule: ribosomal RNA, 497 nt
Filed under: uncultured bacterium
Lineage: Bacteria
Description: partial 16S ribosomal RNA
Rfam family: Bacterial small subunit ribosomal RNA
Source: RNAcentral